This 696-nucleotide ribosomal RNA is filed under the name uncultured bacterium. RNAcentral's name for it is "bacterial SSU rRNA". It matches the Rfam family "Bacterial small subunit ribosomal RNA", at positions 32 to 715 of the family's 1533-position model. The record is from RNAcentral.
AACGCUAGCUACAGGCUUAACACAUGCAAGUCGAGGGGAAACGAUAUUGGAAGCUUGCUUCCGAUAGGCGUCGACCGGCGCACGGGUGAGUAACGCGUAUCCAACCUGCCCACCACUUGGGGAUAACCUUGCGAAAGUAAGACUAAUACCCAAUGAUAUCUCUAGAAGACAUCUGAAAGAGAUUAAAGAUUUAUCGGUGAUGGAUGGGGAUGCGUCUAAUUAGCUUGUUGGCGGGGUAACGGCCCACCAAGGCAACGAUCAGUAGGGGUUCUGAGAGGAAGGUCCCCCACAUUGGAACUGAGACACGGUCCAAACUCCUACGGGAGGCAGCAGUGAGGAAUAUUGGUCAAUGGACGAGAGUCUGAACCAGCCAAGUAGCGUGCAGGAAGACGGCCCUAUGGGUUGUAAACUGCUUUUAUAAGGGAAUAAAGUGAGUCUCGUGAGACUUUUUGCAUGUACCUUAUGAAUAAGGACCGGCUAAUUCCGUGCCAGCAGCCGCGGUAAUACGGAAGGUCCGGGCGUUAUCCGGAUUUAUUGGGUUUAAAGGGAGCGUAGGCCGGAGAUUAAGCGUGUUGUGAAAUGUAGACGCUCAACAUCUGAACUGCAGCGCGAACUGGUUUCCUUGAGUACGCACAAAGUGGGCGGAAUUCGUGGUGUAGCGGUGAAAUGCUUAGAUAUCACGAAGAACUCCGAUUG